Molecule: non-coding RNA, 1779 nt
Organism: Solanum lycopersicum (tomato)
Lineage: Eukaryota; Viridiplantae; Streptophyta; Magnoliopsida; Solanales; Solanaceae
Source: RefSeq, a predicted model, not a curated record
ACACUCUUUUAUUAAAACAAAAACUUCUUAGAGAGCUUUCUGCUUCGCCUCUUCGAUUUGAAUUAGCAUUUUCAUUAGAGUGCCAUCGUCUUAGCAGAGGUUACUGACACCGUCUUAGAGAGAUAAUGUAAACACUUUUUAGGGUUUUAAUUUCAAUAAUUUUUAGUGUGUAGGGUUUUAGUUUCAAUUCUAUUGAGGUACUGUAAAUUUUUUUGGAAGAGGUAAUGUAAGCACUCUCCCUCUUUAGGAUUUCAAUUUGAUUGAGGGUCAACUCUUCCCCUUCUUUAGGGUUUCAAUUUUGUACCCUAAACUCUCCGCCUCGUUUCAGUUUUGUUGAGGUAGUGUAUAUUAUUGUUGCCUCGCUACUUCGCGCUCUCUAUGAUUUGCUAAUUCUAAUUUAAAGUUGUGCUUUCUUGUAUUUAAUUUUGCUCAACUGUUUUUCUCAAUAUGCUCUGUGUGGGCUUAAUUGGGGUUAAAAGAGGUCAGAAAGACCAGCUAUUGAGGUAGGCAUAUGUGUCUUAGUUGGAGUUCUUGCACCUGCCAUUGCUGGAGUUUACUGUACACAUAACUCUCCAGGAAAAAAAUGAUUAUACUGAGUUAGACGAGGAAUCACAAGUUCAAAAAAGUGCUGCAGAAAGCUGCAGUGCUAGCCAACCGAGAAGAAUACCAUUGAAAAAGAGAUCUUCUUUUGCAUCAGUUAAAUGGAGAGUUUUCGAAACUAGACCACAAUUGAGCGGAGGCAUUCUUGAUUUUGGGAUGAUCUUUCUUCGACAUAUCUCUCUUUGUUCUGUUGUUUUGUGUUUUUGGUUGGAAUAUGGAGAGACAUGGGUUUGGAAAUAUGUAUGUUCAUAUUGCAACUUUUAUUCUGUAUGGCUCCUUUCUGGUUCAUCAAUUUUGCUGUUGUUAAUACUGACAGAGAUACUGUUAAGAUGGUAUUAGGUGUUACCGAAAUUUUUCUCUCUGUUUGGGUAAUUAUUGGUGGCUUUUGAAGGAUUGGAUGAGAAAAAGAUACAAUUUGCCUCCUUACAAUUCUUGUUGUGCUAAACCUUAUGUUGCUGAUUGUGCACUAUGGCUUUUCUGUUGUUGCUGCUCUCGUGCUUAGGAAGUAAGGACUGGAAAUUCCUAUGACAUCGUGGAGGAUACAUUUCCUAGAAAACCAGAUGAAAGUAUAUCACCAUUGCCUCGUGAGGAUGGGCGAUAUAAGUAUACUUCAGGUCCUCCACUUCCAACAAUAAAAAGUAGUACACCAAGCCCCAACAAAUUUGCUGAUGAAGUUCAUAGUCCCGAUAGACAACAACCCUUCGUGGAAGACGAGUCUCAUACAAGAAAUCAAAAUGUGAUAAUGAUACCACUUACUCCGUCAGUUAUACAAAGAGAAAAUGACAACCUGAAUCAUAAAUUUGUGGCAGGAGAUGUGAAGAAAGGCAGAGUUUACGGGCUUGGAGCACAACCUUCCUCAUGUCAUCCGUCACCGUUGUUGUCUGGUGCUUCUACUUCUCAAACUUUAGAAGAAAUGGAAGCAAUGCAAAUAGAGAUUUCAAAAUUAAUAGAACGACUUCAAACAUCUGAAGCUAACUAUGCUAAAGUGCAGAAGUUCAUGGAGAAACAUAUGGUUGAAUUUGAUGAAGGCGAAAAAGAGACUGACUCUGACGAAAUGUAGAUUAUGUUCUUGUUGUUUAGACAUUUUCUAUGACAUUUAGUCUUGUUUUAAACUAUUUACAAGUGGUGUACCAAAAUAAACAACAUUUUUCUAUAUAUUAAAAAUUUGGAUUUCUUAUA